AAAGGCCAGCGCAGAGCGCUGGCGAAUGGGAGGCGAGGAAGGCUUGGGCUAAGGAUGGAUUGAAACCGGGCUGCCUGUCCGUGCUGGAGAGUGGGAGAAGGGUCCCUGCUGGCUGCCGUGUCCUGGGUGGGCACAGAGCUCUGACCUUGGCCAGAUGGGCUGGUUUCCGGGUGU
Long non-coding RNA from Vidua macroura (Pin-tailed whydah), 174 nucleotides. RefSeq lists it as uncharacterized. The transcript is spliced from 3 exons. NCBI's taxonomy places the organism in Eukaryota, Metazoa, Chordata, Aves, Passeriformes, Viduidae. The record is from RefSeq and is a predicted model, not a curated record.